AGCAGAAUUGCAAGGAAAUUAAGAAACAGAUAAAUAAAUUUGAAGUAGAAAACUUUAAUGGCAUUGACCUUUAGGCUAUUUUUGGGAGGGUGGGAAAUGGGAGGACAGAAAGCGGAGGGAAAGGAUAUAGGGAAAUUUGGCAGAUGAAAGAAAACAGGGGAGAGAAAAUAUGAACUGAAAAAGUAUGUGGGACCUACAAAAAAUUCUCCAAAUUAUGUAGAGAAAGUGAGAGGGAAAGCUAA
This 242-nucleotide unclassified non-coding RNA is filed under the name Hevea brasiliensis (rubber tree). The record is from RNAcentral. Lineage: Eukaryota; Viridiplantae; Streptophyta; Magnoliopsida; Malpighiales; Euphorbiaceae.